Molecule: ribosomal RNA, 492 nt
Filed under: uncultured bacterium
Lineage: Bacteria
Description: partial 16S ribosomal RNA
Rfam family: Bacterial small subunit ribosomal RNA
Source: RNAcentral
AGUGAACGCUGGCGGUAGGCCUAACACAUGCAAGUCGAACGGCAGCACAGUAAGAGCUUGCUCUUACGGGUGGCGAGUGGCGGACGGGUGAGGAAUACAUCGGAAUCUACUUUUUCGUGGGGGAUAACGUAGGGAAACUUACGCUAAUACCGCAUACGACCUACGGGUGAAAGCAGGGGAUCUUCGGACCUUGCGCGAUUGAAUGAGCCGAUGUCGGAUUAGCUAGUUGGCGGGGUAAAGGCCCACCAAGGCGACGAUCCGUAGCUGGUCUGAGAGGAUGAUCAGCCACACUGGAAGUGAGACACGGUCAAGACGCCUACGGGAGGCAGCAGUGGGGAAUAUUGGACAAUGGGCGCAAGCCUGAUCCAGCCAUACCGCGUGGGUGAAGAAGGCCUUCGGGUUGUAAAGCCCUUUUGUUGGGAAAGAAAAGCAGCAGGUUAAUACCCCGCUGUUCUGACGGUACCCAAAGAAUAAGCACCGGCUAACUUCGUG